GGGAAGGAGCGGAGACGAGCCCGGCCGACGCGGCUUUGUCUCCUUUGUUCCCGGCGGUGGCAGCGCCGCGCGGGAGGGGCGGGCAGCGGGCGCAGUUUUCCGCCCCUCGGUCUCCGGGUAACAGCUGCGGCUCCGCCAGACCCGGGGAGAGGCCGCUGCGCGCGGAGCCCGAGCCCGGAGCGGCCGACGCCCGCCUCGGCGCGCACAUCCCGCGGGGCCCGGCCGGGUGACUACGUAUCCGUGAGCGUGGAGCUCAGAUUUGGCGCUGUUGUGAUCGCCAAAACUUCCCUCUCUUUCUAUGACUGUGUGGCGGUCACUGAACUCCGCCCAUCUGCGCAGUGCCAGGCCUGUGUGAGCAGCCGCUGGGGGUGUAACUGGUGUGUCUGGCAGCACCUGUGCACCCACAAGGCCUCGUGUGAUGCUGGGCCCAUGGUUGCAAGCCAUCAGAGCCCGCUUGUCUCCCCAGACCCUCCUGCAAGAGGUGGACCCAGCCCCUCCCCACCCACAGCCCCCAAAGCCCUGGCCACCCCUGCUCCUGACACCCUUCCCGUGGAGCCUGGGGCUCCCUCCACAGCCACAGCUUCGGACAUCUCACCUGGGGCUAGUCCUUCCCUGCUCAGCCCCUG
This 626-nucleotide long non-coding RNA is filed under the name Homo sapiens (human). RNAcentral describes it as "non-protein coding lnc-CCDC51-3:1". Lineage: Eukaryota; Metazoa; Chordata; Mammalia; Primates; Hominidae. The record is from RNAcentral.